Centrocercus urophasianus (Greater sage-grouse) is the source of this 2967-nucleotide long non-coding RNA. RefSeq lists it as uncharacterized. The record is from RefSeq and is a predicted model, not a curated record. NCBI's taxonomy places the organism in Eukaryota, Metazoa, Chordata, Aves, Galliformes, Phasianidae. The transcript has 4 exons.
UCCAUAUGUAAAAAUGCUUAUAUCUGAGCAGAUUGCUUCAUCCAGAUGAGGAUUUGUUCCAUAACCCAAUCUUUCCACCUUCAUGGAUUGUACUUUUCUCUUCUCAGGAGAUUUGAACUCUCUCAACUCUUGAAACUGUUGACCUGGAAUCAACCACUUAGAGAAGCAUGGGAACAGCAUUUGACAUACACACCACCAAUGAGAGUUUCUUAAACAUGGUCCUGAGGACUGAUGGAAAAUAAAAUUUGAACCUAUAGUCCAUGACACUUCUGGCAGCAGGAAAAGUCCUCAAUAGCUUCUUUCAUCACUAGCCAUAUGGGGGACAUGGAUGUGACUCCUAGUUCUUGAGUAUGCUUCUGGUGCUUAUACAUAUCCAAGGGCUACCUCUGAGAAGCAGGAUUUACGAGUUGGGAGCUGCAGUUUCUAUAUGAAGAAAGUCAGUAGAAAUAAGACAUGUUACAGAUCUUCAGCGUGAAGUGGAGGAUCUCCUCCUUGCAAGCUGUAUGGGAACUGCUGAAUCACAGCCUGAACCUCUGACUGAUCACCUGAGUGAGCAAUAAGUCAGCCACGGGAGCACAGGUGAAGGCAAUUCACCUCUGCUGCCGAAAGGAUGGAGCCUGGUUGCACCUCUCUAGACGCAUUUAAGAGCUGACUGCCAGGAGGGAAGGAUCUCUUCUGGAGAUCCACUUUGCUGAAGUUUCAUAAGUGAGCCUAGGAUACAGCAGAGCUGCGGAGUGCCUCACAGUCAGUGAAAGGAGAAAGAUGCAGUGGAGAGAAGCAGUAGGCAGACAAAGUUCACAUGGAAUUUGUGGCCUGCUGUAAGGCAAAGAUCCCUCCAGAGACAAGACAGGAUGUACUUGGGCUGGGACUUAAUUCGGCUGCUCACACACAGGCAUCUAUUACCAUCUGAGAUCCCUUCAGAAGUCUAAGAAGCACACAGGACUGGAAGAUGUGGCACACAGAACCUCGGUGAGCAGUUGAUGUGUCCUGCCCUCCCCACUGGAUCUAGACUCAACUGCAAUGAAGGAUUCUCAAGGAGGCACAAGGAGGAUUCAGAGGAUCCAGGACCUUGCAUCACCUUUGGAAGCAUGAAGCAUAUUGAUUUGUGUGGAACGUUGCUGAUCCAGAAGAGAAGGAGUCUACCAUUGCUGGGGCCUUGUUCUCAACUUCUUUCCCUGGCUAUGCUGAAAUACAAGUAGUAACUGAAACAUACUUCAGUUCUGAGAGAAGACCAAACCUAUUCCUUUGAUGCUGAGCAAAUCUAACUUCAGGGAAUAUGCCUGCCAGCAGAUUCCCAGAACUCUGCUAGUUCAAAUCCCUGCCAGCACCCAGGAUCACAGGGCUGUGUGGAGAGGAGCCCAGGGGACAAAAGAGGACAAAUACCUCUCAUUGAGAGCUCACUAGAGCUCUGAUGGAGUUCUCCAAGUGUCCUUAAUUCUAUAUCUGUUCAGUGUGCCCAUGGUAUUAUCUGAUUUUUAAUUUUUGCACAGUUUCUGACGUAUCUCAUUAUUACCUUGGCACCCGAGGGCUGUGAUUUGCAGUACAGGGUCCAUUCCAGACCAUACUGAAUUAUAUCAGAAUUCCAAGGCAUGUUUGGCAGCUGCUAAUAGUGGCUGGCUAUUUUUAGAUUUAUUUUUUAUGUACUUCUCUCAGUUCAAAUCUGUCCUAUUUAAACUCUAUUUAAAAAUACAGACCAAUUUCAGACCAGCAAUAUUUUUCUUUCAAUUUCAGGGGUAUAUUUCUACUGCUUACAAAAAAGACCUUUUCACUUACCUUGCCUCUAAUUCAAUUUUUUUCUAGACUGUGUUGUAACUAUUUUGAGCCUCAAUCUUUAUCUCACCAGGAACUGUGUGAAAUUGUCUCUCAGAAAGAGGAUUGAAUUCCCUCUUGAACCCUUUGCACAAAGGGAAAUUUUUUUCACAUAUCCAGUGAUACCUAUUUCUGUAUUCUGAACAUAAGCAGGUCAGUAGAUACCAGAUUUUUUUAUGGCCCUGCCCCUCAGUCUUUGCUGUUUGAGUGCUGUCAGAUUUGCACUGCUCUAAUUCACAGAGCCAAAUUCAGUGACCCCCAGUGCUUGACAAUGGCUGGGGCCAUUUGCCGAGCUCAGAGCAGCAGAGGGAGUGGGAUUUGGCAGCUUCAGGGCCAGUAGCAGCAAGCAGAAGAAAACUUUUUCUGUCUUAUCUCAGCUGAACCUACACAGCUAUUGCCCUACGUGGACCUAAUUUUGUCCAAAACUCAUUGUUUUAGACAAUGAUAGGAGGGAAAUGUCAAGGGAAAAUGUACAGUCGAUUUUCCAAAGCAGCUGCCAAAACUGUCACAAACAUAUACAUACAGAGGAAAUAAUCAUACAGUACUAGUGAUGCUAAAUCCUCUCUGAAGCUGUUUUUAGCAUUUUGCUGAGUGAUGACACUCCCAAAGGAAGGAGGUGUGCUCUGUAGUCUAUCAGCAAAGUAUGAAAUGUAUUAGUAGGUCAUGCGAAGCUGAUUUGGCAAAAUCUCCAAUGCCAGCACAGUUAUUCCCAUUUUGGUUACAGUUUCAAGUUUGUUGUAACAUAGGAGCCACGUAUACAAACACUUGACAAAGUGAUAGGUAACAAAUGAGGAUUCUGCAACAUGUAGCGCUAUCACACUUCUAAAGCACUGUCUCCACAAAAUAAUUUCCCUAAGGCUGAAAGCCUGCUGGAUUUCUGAUUGCCAGAGAUAUCAGCUCCCACUUUCUAAUGCUAGAUUUCUUUGGAAUGUGCAAUGGAGCAUGACAGCAGAUGAAAAAUCUGGCCUGUUUAGUGGCAUGGUUUGGGGUUGAACAUUGGAAAGGGGAACUAGCUUUUUUUUCUUAGUAGAUCACUGCUUGAAGCUUCCUCAAUACUGUGAAAUACUUGUAAUGAUUACAACUACUGCAAAUAAAUGUAUAGAAAGGGAAAAAGAAAUCUAGAAACACAAUUUGAAUAUAAAGACCUCCAGCUGGAAA